CACAAUGGACGAAAGUCUGAUGGAGCAACGCCGCGUGAGUGAAGAAGGGUUUCGGCUCGUAAAACUCUGUUGUUAAAGAAGAACAUAUCUGAGAGUAACUGUUCAGGUAUUGACGGUAUUUAACCAGAAAGCCACGGCUAACUACGUGCCAGCAGCCGCGGUAAUACGUAGGUGGCAAGCGUUGUCCGGAUUUAUUGGGCGUAAAGCGAGCGCAGGCGGUUUUUUAAGUCUGAUGUGAAAGCCUUCGGCUCAACCGAAGAAGUGCAUCGGAAACUGGGAAAC
RNAcentral lists this ribosomal RNA (282 nucleotides) under Lactiplantibacillus plantarum. RNAcentral's name for it is "Lactobacillus plantarum partial 16S ribosomal RNA". It matches the Rfam family "Bacterial small subunit ribosomal RNA", at positions 367 to 641 of the family's 1533-position model. The record is from RNAcentral. Lineage: Bacteria; Bacillati; Bacillota; Bacilli; Lactobacillales; Lactobacillaceae.